GUGCCAGCCGCCGCGGUAAUACGGAGGGGGUUAGCGUUGUUCGGAAUUACUGGGCGUAAAGCGCACGUAGGCGGAUCAGAAAGUUGGGGGUGAAAUCCCAGGGCUCAACCCUGGAACUGCCUCCAAAACUCCUGGUCUUGAGUUCGAGAGAGGUGAGUGGAAUUCCGAGUGUAGAGGUGAAAUUCGUAGAUAUUCGGAGGAACACCAGUGGCGAAGGCGGCUCACUGGCUCGAUACUGACGCUGAGGUGCGAAAGUGUGGGGAGCAAACAGGAUUAGAUACCCGGGUAGUCC
RNAcentral lists this ribosomal RNA (292 nucleotides) under uncultured bacterium. RNAcentral's name for it is "partial 16S ribosomal RNA". It matches the Rfam family "Bacterial small subunit ribosomal RNA", at positions 505 to 796 of the family's 1533-position model. The record is from RNAcentral.